Molecule: unclassified non-coding RNA, 298 nt
Filed under: uncultured Ascomycota
Lineage: Eukaryota; Fungi; Ascomycota
Description: sequence contains ITS1
Rfam family: 5.8S ribosomal RNA (bases 1-105)
Source: RNAcentral
GAAAUGCGAUAAGUAAUGUGAAUUGCAGAAUUCAGUGAACCAUCGAAUCUUUGAACGCACAUUGCGCCCUUUGGUAUUCCGAAGGGCAUGCCUGUUCGAGCGUCGUAUUACCCAUCAAGCGUGCUUGGUAUUGGACCGUUGCCCUCUGGGCUGGUCAUGAAACCAGUGGCGGCCAUCUCUGGACUCCAGCGUUGUAAUCUGACCACGCUGUGGAGGGACGGAGGCAUGUUGCCCGCCAUACCCCCCUCAUCUUAUCAAAGACGACCUCGAAUCAGGUAGGGAUACCCGCUGAACUUAA